This 399-nucleotide ribosomal RNA is filed under the name Bacillus thuringiensis. Its description in RNAcentral is "bacterial SSU rRNA". It matches the Rfam family "Bacterial small subunit ribosomal RNA", at positions 60 to 443 of the family's 1533-position model. The record is from RNAcentral. Lineage: Bacteria; Bacillati; Bacillota; Bacilli; Caryophanales; Bacillaceae.
AGUCGAGCGAAUGGAUUAAGAGCUUGCUCUUAUGAAGUUAGCGGCGGGCGGGAUGAGUAACACGUGGGUAACCUGCCCAUAAGACUGGGGAUAACUCCGGGGAAAACCGGGGCUAAUACCGGAUAACAUUUUGAACCGCAUGGUUCGAAAUUGAAAGGCGGCUUCGGCUGUCACUUAUGGAUGGACCCGCGUCGCAUUAGCUAGUUGGUGAGGUAACGGCUCACCAAGGCAACGAUGCGUAGCCGACCUGAGAGGGUGAUCGGCCACACUGGGACUGAGACACGGCCCAGACUCCUACGGGAGGCAGCAGUAGGGAAUCUUCCGCAAUGGACGAAAGUCUGACGGAGCAACGCCGCGUGAGUGAUGAAGGCUUUCGGGUCGUAAAACUCUGUUGUUAGG